AGCCUACUCCCUCCGUUCGAAAUUACUUGUCUCGGAAAUGGACGUAUCUAGAACUAAAAUACAUCUAAAUACAUCUAUUUUCACGACAAAUAAUUCCGAACGGAGGGAGUAGAUG
This is a non-coding RNA of Triticum aestivum (bread wheat), 115 nucleotides long. The record is from Rfam. NCBI's taxonomy places the organism in Eukaryota, Viridiplantae, Streptophyta, Magnoliopsida, Poales, Poaceae.